This 329-nucleotide ribosomal RNA is filed under the name uncultured Lachnospiraceae bacterium. RNAcentral's name for it is "bacterial SSU rRNA". It matches the Rfam family "Bacterial small subunit ribosomal RNA", at positions 355 to 703 of the family's 1533-position model. The record is from RNAcentral. Lineage: Bacteria; Bacillati; Bacillota; Clostridia; Lachnospirales; Lachnospiraceae.
UGGGGGAUAUUGCACAAUGGAGGAAACUCUGAUGCAGCGACGCCGCGUGAGUGAAGAAGUAUUUCGGUAUGUAAAGCUCUAUCAGCAGGGAAGAAAUGACGGUACCUGACUAAGAAGCCCCGGCUAACUACGUGCCAGCAGCCGCGGUAAUACGUAGGGGCAAGCGUUAUCCGGAUUUACUGGGUGUAAAGGGAGCGUAGACGGCGAUGCAAGUCUGAAGUGAAAUACCCGGGCUCAACCUGGGAACUGCUUUGGAAACUGUAUGGCUAGAGUGCUGGAGAGGUAAGCGGAAUUCCUAGUGUAGCGGUGAAAUGCGUAGAUAUUAGGAA